GGCUCCAUGGUCUAGUAGUAUGAUUCUCGCUUUGGGUGCGAGAGGUCGUGGGUUCAAUUCCCGCUGGAGCCC
Non-coding RNA from Rhizophagus irregularis, 72 nucleotides. NCBI's taxonomy places the organism in Eukaryota, Fungi, Glomeromycota, Glomeromycetes, Glomerales, Glomeraceae. The record is from Rfam.